GGAUCCAGACUUUGAUUAUGGCUCAGGACGAACGCUGGCGGCGUGCCUAACACAUGCAAGUCGAGCGGAGACAGGGAGUAGCUUGCUACGAGCUGUUUUAGCGGCGGACGGGUGAGUAACGCGUGAGCAACCUUUCCCAGACAGGGGAAUAACACACCGAAAGGUGUACUAAUACCGCAUAAGACCACGGAAUCACAUGGUUCUGGGGUAAAAGAUUUAUCGGUUUGGGGUGGGCUCGCGUCCGAUUAGGUAGUUGGUGAGGUAACGGCCCACCAAGCCGACGAUCGGUAGCCGACCUGAGAGGGUGAUCGGCCACAUUGGGACUGAGACACGGCCCAAACUCCUACGGGAGGCAGCAGUGGGGAAUAUUGGGCAAUGGAGGAAACUCUGACCCAGCAACGCCGCGUGGAGGAAGAAGGUUUUCGGAUUGUAAACUCCUGUCCUUGGAGACGAGUAGAAGACGGUAUCCAAGGAGGAAGCCCCGGCUAACUACGUGCCAGCAGCCGCGGUAAUACGUAGGGGGCAAGCGUUGUCCGGAAUAAUUGGGCGUAAAGGGCGCGUAGGCGGCUCGGUAAGUCUGGAGUGAAAGUCCUGCUUUUAAGGUGGGAAUUGCUUUGGAUACUGUCGGGCUUGAGUGCAGGAGAGGUUAGUGGAAUUCCCAGUGUAGCGGUGAAAUGCGUAGAGAUUGGGAGGAACACCAGUGGCGAAGGCGACUAACUGGACUGUAACUGACGCUGAGGCGCGAAAGUGUGGGGAGCAAACAGGAUUAGAUACCCUGGUAGUCCACACUGUAAACGAUGAAUGCUAGGUGUAGGGGGUAUCGACCCCUUCUGUGCCGCAGUCAACA
Molecule: ribosomal RNA, 847 nt
Filed under: uncultured bacterium
Lineage: Bacteria
Description: bacterial SSU rRNA
Rfam family: Bacterial small subunit ribosomal RNA
Source: RNAcentral